AAAAUACUCCCUUCGUCUCAAAAUUCUUGUCUUAGAUUUGUCUAGAUACGGAUAUAUCUAACACUAAAACGUAAUUAGAUACAUUCGUAUUUAGACAAUCUAAGACAAUAAUUUUAGGACGAAAGGGCAUAUAAG
This is a non-coding RNA of Triticum aestivum (bread wheat), 135 nucleotides long. The record is from Rfam. NCBI's taxonomy places the organism in Eukaryota, Viridiplantae, Streptophyta, Magnoliopsida, Poales, Poaceae.